This 490-nucleotide ribosomal RNA is filed under the name uncultured bacterium. Its description in RNAcentral is "partial 16S ribosomal RNA". It matches the Rfam family "Bacterial small subunit ribosomal RNA", at positions 30 to 507 of the family's 1533-position model. The record is from RNAcentral.
AUUGAACGCUGGCGGCAGGCCUAACACAUGCAAGUCGAACGGUAACAGGAAGAAGCUUGCUUCUUUGCUGACGAGUGGCGGACGGGUGAGUAAUGUCUGGGAAACUGCCUGAUGGAGGGGGAUAACUACUGGAAACGGUAGCUAAUACCGCAUAACGUCGCAAGACCAAAAAGGGGGACCUUCGGGCCUCUUGCCAUCGGAUGUGCCCAGAUGGGAUUAGCUAGUAGGUGGGGUAACGGCUCACCUAGGCGACGAUCCCUAGCUGGUCUGAGAGGAUGACCAGCCACACUGGAACUGAGACACGGUCCAGACUCCUACGGGAGGCAGCAGUGGGGAAUAUUGCACAAUGGGCGCAAGCCUGAUGCAGCCAUGCCGCGUGUAUGAAGAAGGCCUUCGGGUCGUAAAGUACUUUCAGCGGGGAGGAAGGGAGUAAAGUUAAUACCUUUGCUCAUUGACGUUACCCGCAGAAGAAGCACCGGCUAACUCCGUG